RNAcentral lists this ribosomal RNA (2895 nucleotides) under Mediterraneibacter gnavus ATCC 29149. RNAcentral describes it as "bacterial LSU rRNA". It matches the Rfam family "Bacterial large subunit ribosomal RNA". Lineage: Bacteria; Bacillati; Bacillota; Clostridia; Lachnospirales; Lachnospiraceae. The record is from RNAcentral.
UUGGUUAUGCUAAUAAGAGCGUAUGGUGGAUGCCUUGGCACUAAGAGCCGAUGAAAGACGUGAUAAGCUGCGAAAAGCUUCGGGGAGGAGCAAAUAUCCAUUGAUCCGGAGAUAUCUGAAUGGGGAAACCUACUUGAGAAAACCUCAAGUAUCCACAGCCCAAUCCAUAAGCUGUGGAAGGGAACCCGGUGAACUGAAACAUCUAAGUAGCCGGAGGAAGAGAAAACAACAUGUGAUUCCGUAAGUAGCGGCGAGCGAACGCGGAAGAGCCCAAACCGGAGUGCGUGCACUCCGGGGUUCGGACUGCAGGAUUGACGAGUGAGCCUAGUAGAAUGGUUUUGGGAAAGCCAGCCAGAGAGGGUGAAAGCCCCGUACACGAAAGGCAAGCGAGCAUGGCAGGAUCCAGAGUACCACGAGACACGUGAAACCUUGUGGGAAUGAGCGGGGACCACCCCGUAAGGCUAAAUACUCCUUAGUGACCGAUAGCGCAUAGUACUGUGAAGGAAAGGUGAAAAGGACCCCGGGAGGGGAGUGAAAGAGAACCUGAAACCAUAUGUUUACAAGCUGUGGAACAUCUUUAUAUGAUGAACCGCGUACUUUUUGUAGAACGGUCCGGCGAGUUACGCUGGCUGGCGAGGUUAAGGGCUGAAGGCCUGGAGCCGAAGGGAAACCGAGUCUGAACAGGGCGAAAUAGUCAGUCGGAGUAGACCCGAAACCGGGUGAUCUAUCCAUGUCCAGGUUGAAGUUGCCGUAAAAGGCAAUGGAGGACCGAACCCACAUCCGUUGAAAAGGGUGGGGAUGAGGUGUGGAUAGGGGAGAAAUUCCAAUCGAACCCGGAGAUAGCUGGUUCUCCUCGAAAUAGCUUUAGGGCUAGCCUCAUGCAAGUCUUACGGAGGUAGAGCACUGAAUUCCUAAGGGGGCGUCAAAGCUUACCAAGGGAUAUCAAACUCCGAAUGCCGUGUAGAUGGUGCAUGGGAGUCAGACUAUCCGAGAUAAGUUGGGUAGUCAAAAGGGAAAGAGCCCAGACCUACAGCUAAGGUCCCAAAAUGUGUGUUAAGUGGAAAAGGAUGUGGGAUUUCGAAGACAACUAGGAUGUUGGCUUAGAAGCAGCCAUCCAUUAAAAGAGUGCGUAAUAGCUCACUAGUCGAGAGGUCCUGCGCCGAAAAUGUCCGGGGCUGAAACACACUACCGAAGCUUAGGAAUUGACGAAUGUUAAUUGGUAGAGGAGCAUUCUUAACGGGGCGAAGCUGUACCGGAAGGAGCAGUGGACUGUUAAGAAGAGAGAAUGCCGGAAUGAGUAGCGAGAGGAAGGUGAGAAUCCUUCCGGCCGAAUAUCUAAGGUUUCCAGAGUAAAGCUGAUCUGCUCUGGGUAAGUCGGGGCCUAAGGCGAGGUCGAAAGACGUAGUCGAUGGAUAACAGGUAAAGAUUCCUGUACUAUAUCAUAACAGAACUGUGGGGACGCAGACAGAGAGCAUAAGCCGGGAAUGGAAAGACCGGUACAAGCGAGGUAGGAGUGCAUCAGGCAAAUCCGGUGCACAAUCUGAAGACGUGAUGUGGGGCGUAAAGCCGGAAGUAUGUGAGCUGGCUGCCAAGAAAAGCCGCUAUUGUUUAUGAUAUACCCGUACCGUAAACCGACACAGGUGGAUGAGGAGAGAAUCCUAAGGCCGACGGGAGAAGCAUUGUUAAGGAACUCGGCAAAAUGACUCCGUAACUUCGGGAGAAGGAGUGCCAUGUAAAAGUGGCCGCAGAGAAUUGGCCCAAGCAACUGUUUAGCAAAAACACAGGUCUAUGCAAAACCGAAAGGUGAGGUAUAUGGGCUGACGCCUGCCCGGUGCUGGAAGGUUAAGGGGAGAGGUUAGUCGUAAGGCGAAGCUUUGAACUUAAGCCCCAGUAAACGGCGGCCGUAACUAUAACGGUCCUAAGGUAGCGAAAUUCCUUGUCGGGUAAGUUCCGACCCGCACGAAAGGCGUAAUGAUUUGGGCACUGUCUCAACAAUGCACCCGGUGAAAUUGAAAUACCAGUGAAGAUGCUGGUUACCUGCGCCAGGACGGAAAGACCCCAUGGAGCUUUACUCCAGCUUGAUACUGGGAUUCGAUAUUGCAUGUACAGGAUAGGUGGGAGACUGAGAACUGAUGACGCCAGUUGUCAGGGAGUCACUGUUGGGAUACCACCCUUGUAGUAUUGGAUUUCUAACCAGCAGCCGUGAACCGGCUGGGGGACAAUGUCAGGUGGGGAGUUUGACUGGGGCGGUCGCCUCCGAAAGGGUAUCGGAGGCGCUCAAAGGUUCCCUCAGAAUGGUUGGAAACCAUUCGAAGAGUGCAAAGGCAGAAGGGAGCUUGACUGCGACACCGACGGGUGGAGCAGGUACGAAAGUAGGACUUAGUGAUCCGGUGGUAUAAAGUGGGAUUGCCAUCGCUCAACGGAUAAAAGCUACCCUGGGGAUAACAGGCUUAUCACUCCCAAGAGUUCACAUCGACGGAGUGGUUUGGCACCUCGAUGUCGGCUCAUCGCAUCCUGGGGCUGAAGUAGGUCCCAAGGGUUGGGCUGUUCGCCCAUUAAAGCGGUACGCGAGCUGGGUUCAGAACGUCGUGAGACAGUUCGGUCCCUAUCCGGCGUGGGCGUAGGAUAUUUGAGAGGAGCUGCCCUUAGUACGAGAGGACCGGGGUGGACUGGCCGCUGGUGGAUCUGUUGUAUUACCAAAUGCAUAGCAGAGUAGCCAAGCCGGGACGGGAUAAACGCUGAAGGCAUCUAAGCGUGAAGCCCCCCUCAAGAUGAGAUAUCCCAUAACGUCAAGUUAGUAAGACCCCUUGAAGACGACGAGGUAGAUAGGGCAGAGGUGGAAGUGCGGUAACGCAUGGAGCUGACUGUUACUAAUAGGUCGAGGGCAUAACCAAG